AUGUGCUUUCAGAUCUCUACUAUCACUACUAACACUCGGAGAGCACGCUAUGUACGUCGCAGGAAGGCCUGUCUGACAAACCUACGCCAUGUCCCUCUGACCUCUACUACUAUGCUCUCUAUUCCAGUUGGUCUCUGGAACUGCCAGUCUGCAGUUAACAAAGCAGACUUCAUUUCCUCUAUUGCUACCCAUUCCGGUCUCAACCUCAUGGCACUGACAGAGACUUGGAUCAAACCUGAAGAUACUGCCACCCCUGCAGCCCUCUCUACUAAUUUCACUUGUUCCCACACUCCUCGUACCACUGGGAGGGGUGGAGGUACGGGUCUCCUUAUAUCCAAAGAAUGGAAAUUUGAACUUCAGCCAUCACCUACAGGUACUGGUUCAUUUGAAUCACAUGCCAUUACUGUAACCCACCCUGUUAAAAUCCACUUUGUGGUCAUUUAUCGUCCUCCAGGUCAAAUGGGAAACUUCUUGGAGGAGUUGGAUGUGCUGCUAUCAAACUUUCCUGAAGAUGGUACUCCUCUGGUACUGCUUGGUGACUUCAACAUCCACUUAGAUAAACCCCAGGCAGCUGACUUCAAAACUCUGCUCACCUCAUUUGAUCUCAAGCUAGUGUCCACUACAGCGACUCACAAAUCGGGCAACCAACUUGACCUCAUCUACACGCGCGGUUGCUCUGUGGACACCUCUUCAGUUGCUCCACUGCACACCUCUGAUCACUUCCUCAUUACUGCUAACCUAGCACUUACUCCUGAAGUGGCACACACUCCAACGCAGGUCACCUUUCGACGGAACCUACGCUCACUCUCUCCAUCUCGCCUAUCUGCUGUGGUUUCAUCCUCUCUUCCACCAUUCUCUCAGUUUUCUGCUUUGGACACGAACAGUGCUACAGACACUCUUUGCUCCACUUUAACAUCUUGCUUGGACAACUUUUGCCCACUGUUGUCUAGACCAGCACGCACUGCCCCAUCUGCCCCCUGGCUGUCCGAGGUUCUCCGUGAACAUCGCUCUAAACUCAGGGCUGCAGAGAGGAAAUGGCAGAAAUAA
RNAcentral lists this long non-coding RNA (1047 nucleotides) under Carassius auratus (goldfish). RNAcentral describes it as "lncRNA (ENSCARG00000052632.1)". Lineage: Eukaryota; Metazoa; Chordata; Actinopteri; Cypriniformes; Cyprinidae. The record is from RNAcentral.